UACGCAGCGUGCACGCGUUGCUCGGAAUUACUGGGCGUAAAGCGCGUGUAGGCGGUCUCGUGUGUCCGGCGUGAAAGCCCCGGGCUCACCCCGGGAAGUGCGUUGGAAACUGCGAGACUAGAGUUCCGGAGAGGAAGGUGGAAUUCCAGGUGUAGCGGUGAAAUGCGUAGAUAUCUGGUAGAACACCGGUGGCGAAGGCGGCCUUCUGGACGGUGACUGACGCUGAGACGUGAAAGCGUGGGGAGCAAACAGG
Molecule: ribosomal RNA, 253 nt
Filed under: uncultured bacterium
Lineage: Bacteria
Description: partial 16S ribosomal RNA
Rfam family: Bacterial small subunit ribosomal RNA
Source: RNAcentral